AUGAACGCUGGCGGCGUGCCUAAUACAUGCAAGUCGAGCGCACAGACGAGGAGCUUGCUCCUCUGACGUUAGCGGCGGACGGGUGAGUAACACGUGGAUAACCUACCUAUAAGACUGGGAUAACUUCGGGAAACCGGAGCUAAUACCGGAUAAUAUAUUGAACCGCAUGGUUCAAUAGUGAAAGACGGUUUUGCUGUCACUUAUAGAUGGAUCCGCGCCGCAUUAGCUAGUUGGUAAGGUAACGGCUUACCAAGGCAACGAUGCGUAGCCGACCUGAGAGGGUGAUCGGCCACACUGGAACUGAGACACGGUCCAGACUCCUACGGGAGGCAGCAGUAGGGAAUCUUCCGCAAUGGGCGAAAGCCUAACGGAGCAACGCCGCGUGAGUGAUGAAGUUCUUCGGAUCGUAAAACUCUGUUAUUAGGGAAGAACAAAUGUGUAAGUAACUAUGCACGUCUUGACGGUACCUAAUCAGAAAGCCACGGCUAACUACGUG
RNAcentral lists this ribosomal RNA (496 nucleotides) under uncultured bacterium. RNAcentral describes it as "partial 16S ribosomal RNA". It matches the Rfam family "Bacterial small subunit ribosomal RNA", at positions 29 to 507 of the family's 1533-position model. The record is from RNAcentral.